Molecule: non-coding RNA, 67 nt
Organism: Procambarus clarkii (red swamp crayfish)
Lineage: Eukaryota; Metazoa; Arthropoda; Malacostraca; Decapoda; Cambaridae
Source: the annotation of a RefSeq genome assembly
UAAAAAUUAGUUAAUAUAGAUAUAAUAUAAGUUUGUCAGACUUAAGUAAUUGAAUAAAUAUUUUUAU